CGCUCGUUGGAAGUUUUAGUGAAACAAUAUUUAUGAAGACAUCCUAACAUCCUAUGCUGGUGUAGCUGCGGAUCGGAUCUUCCGCAGUUCAGUUGAUGACCAACUG
Sinocyclocheilus rhinocerous is the source of this 106-nucleotide long non-coding RNA. RefSeq lists it as uncharacterized. The transcript is spliced from 3 exons. The record is from RefSeq and is a predicted model, not a curated record. NCBI's taxonomy places the organism in Eukaryota, Metazoa, Chordata, Actinopteri, Cypriniformes, Cyprinidae.